This 337-nucleotide long non-coding RNA is filed under the name Nicotiana benthamiana. RNAcentral describes it as "long non-coding RNA (NBEN_LNC010412)". Lineage: Eukaryota; Viridiplantae; Streptophyta; Magnoliopsida; Solanales; Solanaceae. The record is from RNAcentral.
GCUGAGUACAGAGCUCUAGGGCAUUUAGUUGCUAAAAUUGUUUGGAUGGUCAAGUUGGUGGGUGAGCUUGGCAUUUAUUCCCUCACCCAUAUUCAAGUGUUAUGUGACAAUCGUCUGCUAUCCAUAUUGCUCAUGAUCCUGUGUUUCAUGAGUGCACUAAACAUACCAAGAUUGACUACCAUUUUGUCCAUGAAAAGCUUCAGUCUGGCCUAGGGGUGUUCAAAAUCGAACCGAAACCGAAGCUUAAAAGCUUAUUGGUGUUAGGUUAAUGGUUUAAGGGAGGAGGAACAUAUUGAAUUCUUUUAUUAACGGUUAUCGAUCUAGGAGAGGAUUAUUC